UACCAGCACCCCGAGUGGUCGGGACGAUUAUUGGGCCUAAAGCAUCCGUAGCCGGUUCUACAAGUCUUCCGUUAAAUCCACCUGCUUAACUGAGAAACUGCCAUUGAUACUGCAGGUCUUGAGUACAGAUGAUGUUGGCGGAAUAUGACAUGUAGCGGUGAAAUGCAUAGAUAUGUCAUAGAACACCGAUUGCGAAGGCAGCUGACAAAACUGUAACUGACGCUGAGGCACGAAAGUGUGGGGAUCAAACAGG
This 253-nucleotide ribosomal RNA is filed under the name uncultured bacterium. RNAcentral describes it as "partial 16S ribosomal RNA". The stretch from base 27 to 253 matches the Rfam family "Bacterial small subunit ribosomal RNA", at positions 550 to 776 of the family's 1533-position model. The record is from RNAcentral.